AUGAGUAGGAAGUCAAGCAAAGGAGGUAGGAGACCUGCAUGGAUGAGCAAGGAGCUCCUGGCAAAACUCAACCAGAAGAAGGAAGUAUACAGAAAGUGGAAAGGGGGACAGGCCACUUGGGAGGAAUAUAGGAACGUUGUCAGAGUAUGCAGGGAUGUGACGAGGAAGGCUAAGGCCUGUUUGGAAUUAAAUCUGGCGAGAGAUGUCAAGGACAGCAAGAAGGGCUUCUUCAAAUACAUCAGUAGCAAGAGGAAGACUAGGGAAAAUGUGGGCCCUUUGCUGAAUGGGGUGGGUGCCCUGGUGACGAAGGAUGCAGAGAAGGCAGAGUUACUGAAUGCUGCCUUUGCUUCAGUCUUUACUGCUGAGGCCGGCCCUCAGGAACCGCAGACCCUGGAGGCAAGAGAGAAAGUCUGGAGGAAGGAAGACUUUCCCUUGGUGGAGGAGGAGUGGGUUAGAAAUCAUUUAAGCAAACUUGACACCCACAGAUCCAUGGGCCCUGAUGGGAUGCACCCACGAGUGCUGAGGGAGCUGGCGGAUGUCAUUGCUAAGCCACUCUCCAUCAUCUUUGAAAGGUCAUGGAGAACAGGAGAGGUGCCUGAGGACUGGAAGAAAGCCAAUGUCACCCCAGUCUUCAAAAAGGGCAAGAAGGAGGACCCAGGGAACUACAGGCCAGUCAGCCUCACCUGCAUCCCUGGAAAGGUGAUGGAGCAGCUCAUCCUGGAGGCCAUCUCCAAGCAUGUGGAGGACAAGAAAGCGAUCAGGAGUAGUCAGCAUGGCUUCACCAAGGGGAAAUCAUGCUUAACCAAUCUGAUAGCCUUCUCUGAUGGAAUGACUGGCUGGGUAGAUGAGGGGAGAGCAGUGGAUGUUGUCUACCUAGACUUCAGCAAGGCUUUUGACACUGUCUCCCAUAACAUCCUCAUAGACAAGCUCAGGAAGUGUGGGCUGGAUGAGUGGACAGUGAGGUGCAUUGAGAACUGGCUGAAUGGCAGAGCUCAGAGUUGUGAUCAGCGGCGCAGAGUCUAG
This 1023-nucleotide long non-coding RNA is filed under the name Apteryx haastii (Great spotted kiwi). Its description in RNAcentral is "lncRNA (ENSAHAG00000013695.1)". The record is from RNAcentral. Lineage: Eukaryota; Metazoa; Chordata; Aves; Apterygiformes; Apterygidae.